Molecule: ribosomal RNA, 774 nt
Filed under: uncultured Neocallimastigales
Lineage: Eukaryota; Fungi; Neocallimastigomycota; Neocallimastigomycetes; Neocallimastigales
Description: partial large subunit ribosomal RNA
Rfam family: Eukaryotic large subunit ribosomal RNA
Source: RNAcentral
CGCAUCUGUGCAUGCAGCAUAUCAAUAAGCGGAGGAAAAGAAACUAACAAGGAUUCCCCCUAGUAACGGCGAGUGAAGCGGGAAGAGCUCAAAUUUGAAAUCUUAAAGGGUUUCCCUUUACGAAUUGUAGUUUAAAGAAGUGUUUUCUGUUGAGGUUUAGGUAAAAGUUCUUUGGAAUAGGACAUCAUAGAGGGUGAGAAUCCCGUAUUUGACCUUUACUUUCAACUUUGUGAUACACUUUCAAAGAGUCGGAUUGUUUGGGAAUGCAGUCCAAAAUGGGUGGUAAAUUUCAUCUAAAGCUAAAUAUUGGCGAGAGACCGAUAGCGAACAAGUACCGUGAGGGAAAGAUGAAAAGAACUUUGAAAAGAGAGUUAAACAGUACGCGAAAUUGUCAAAAGGGAAGCGUUUGACACCAGUGUUGUUUUUCUGAAAAUCAAUUAAAGAACUGUUUAUGCUAAGUUGUUUAGACUUUAUCAGCUAUCUGCUUAGUUUUGAGCUUUUCUUUAAUGCACUUUUCAGUUAACAAGUCAACAUCAAUUUCUGUUGCUGUAAAAAGCUUGAGGAAGGUGGCUUGAGAUUCGUCUUAAGUGUUUAUAGCCUCUCGCCUAUGCAGUCGGAGAGAUUGAGGUCUGCAGCGUAGAUCCUUCGGGGCUAAAUGCAUUUGUGCUAAGUUAUAGCAUUUUAUAGACAACUUGUUGACUAUGAUUUGUCUUGUAGCUUACUCGCUUAUGUUAUUUUACCUACGCUUAGGAUGUUGAGUCAUCACACAUCUCU